AUGAUGGUAAAGGGAGAGACUACGUUGUUUCGUAACGUAGCGCCGAAGGAGCAAACAAUUGUGAAUCUCUCAGGCAAAGCAGACUUUUACUUGACG
This 96-nucleotide non-coding RNA is filed under the name Bacillus sp. (in: firmicutes). RNAcentral's name for it is "Bacillus sp. Glycine sequence". It matches the Rfam family "Glycine riboswitch aptamer". From Rfam's summary of the family: This family represents the bacterial glycine riboswitch. The record is from RNAcentral. Lineage: Bacteria; Bacillati; Bacillota; Bacilli; Caryophanales; Bacillaceae.